GACGAACGCUGGCGGCGUGCCUAAUACAUGCAAGUAGAACGCACAGUUUAUACCGUAGCUUGCUACACCAUAGACUGUGAGUUGCGAACGGGUGAGUAACGCGUAGGUAACCUGCCUGGUAGCGGGGGAUAACUAUUGGAAACGAUAGCUAAUACCGCAUAAUAUUAAUUAUUGCAUGAUAAUUAAUUGAAAGGUGCAAUUGCACCACUACCAGAUGGACCUGCGUUGUAUUAGCUAGUAGGUGAGGUAACGGCUCACCUAGGCGACGAUACAUAGCCGACCUGAGAGGGUGAUCGGCCAACCUGGGAAUGAGACACGGCCCAGACUCCUACGGGAGGCAGCAGUAGGGAAUCUUCGGAAAUGGACGAAAGUCUGACCGAGCAACGCCGCGUGAGUGAAGAAGGGUUUCGGAUCGUAAAGCUCUGUUGUAAGAGAAGAAAGGGUGUGAGAGUGGAAAGUUCACACUGUGACGGUAUCUUACCAGAAAGGGACGGCUAACUACGUG
RNAcentral lists this ribosomal RNA (505 nucleotides) under uncultured bacterium. Its description in RNAcentral is "partial 16S ribosomal RNA". It matches the Rfam family "Bacterial small subunit ribosomal RNA", at positions 28 to 507 of the family's 1533-position model. The record is from RNAcentral.